UUCAAGAAGUCCAGAUACUAAGUGUUCUUCCCAUCCGCUUUGUGCAAUUUUCAUGAUAAUGUUUUUGUAAAGUGAUCAUCAGUUAAGUUUACAUCAAGUGUCAAUUGAUCUAUCAUCUUUGAACAUACUUGUAAAAAAAGGUCCUCUUGUAAUGAUGUUGGGUUUUCACAAUAAUGGUACAAUGAAAUGCCUCCAAUAUACAACAUUGUUUAGUAUUAGCGUUUGCUUAUGUAGGCCUGUUUUACUUUUCAUAUAGAAUAUAUUGCCAUCUUGUCUUUAGAAUUUCAUCAGUAUGCUUUUACUUAUGCCUUUGCAAGGGACCAAAUUGGCGCAUCAUUAGCUUUUUGAUUCCAUGUUCUUCACUGUCUUCGUCUUCUAGAAACAGAUUCAUUUCCAACAGCUGAUAAGCUAUUCCGAAAUAAAAUUUGGGUUGGAACAGUCGAAGGUCAGCGAUAGUUCCUCAUUAAUUCUUAGCUUCCAUUUGCAAAUGAUGUUAUGAUUCAUGUUGAUUAAAAUUGUUAACAGGUCUUCCUAUCUAUUUCAUUGAGCCUCAUCAUCUGGCUAAAUUCUUCUGGAGAGGACAGUUUAAUGGAGAGAAUGAUGAUUUCAAGCAUUUUUCAUUCUUUAGUCAUGCAGCACUUGAAUUGCUUCUUCGAGUUGGCAAGAAACCAGAUAUAAUCCAUCGCCAUGACCGGCAAACAGCGUUUGUUGUAUGCACUGGCAACAGUUAGAAUUUCACUAGUUCCUUUUCAUAAAUAAUUUCUGAUGUUUUUCCCCCCUCUAAUAAGUAAACUUGGCUUCUCAGGCACCACUUUAUUGGGAUUUGUAUGCUCUUAGAGGUUUGAAUACGGCUAGAAUUUGCUUUACAUGCCACAAUUUUGAGUAUUAGGGGACAACACCUACUUCAGAGUUGGCUUCCUGUGGCAUUGAUGUUCACCAGCUGAGUAGACAUGAUAGGAUGCAGGAAAAUGCAUCACAUGAUAGAGUCAAUCCAAUUAAGGUAAUUGAUUUCAAUGGUUCAUUUGAAUUAAGAAAAAGGCAUCAAGCUGCGACUUGUUUUACAUGUUCCCAUUCUUUAGGGUGUGAUUGUGUUCUCCAACAUUGUAACAAUAGUAUCUCCAUCUUUCUCUCCCUGCCCCGACUCUCUGUUUAUGUCUCUGCCCUAAUUUUGCUCAAAAAUAUGAUAACAUGGGGGCCGAAAUGGCUGUCCUUGUUCAGGAGGUUUGAUUGGAUUACUGUGUGGGAUAGAGAAAUUUGAUUCUUCAAAAGGGUACAAAAUAUCAACUUAUGUAUAUUGGUGGAUUCGUCAGGUUUCCAUCUCCUUUUAUUGUCAAAUGAUCCAGCAACUGAAGUAUAGAAGCCUCAGAAGAACCAGCUCCUACUACCAACAUCACCCAGCCAACUAGUACAGAAGAUAGACUCUGUUGCAAGUUCUAUUAUCAAUAUUAUUUCCACUCUUUAAGUUUUGAAGAUAAAGAACAUCAUUGUUGUUAUUUGCUGCAAAUAAAUUUAUUUAUUUAUUAUAUAUUUGUGGAUCUUUUUUGACUGGAUUAAGUGGGCCUGGGUUGUAUUAUUAGAGUGGUUCUUUCACCUGCAACAUUAUAAAUAAAGUGGUGUAGAGGGAUUUU
Molecule: long non-coding RNA, 1628 nt
Organism: Magnolia sinica
Lineage: Eukaryota; Viridiplantae; Streptophyta; Magnoliopsida; Magnoliales; Magnoliaceae
Exons: 3
Source: RefSeq, a predicted model, not a curated record